This 271-nucleotide ribosomal RNA is filed under the name uncultured bacterium. Its description in RNAcentral is "partial 16S ribosomal RNA". It matches the Rfam family "Bacterial small subunit ribosomal RNA", at positions 793 to 1055 of the family's 1533-position model. The record is from RNAcentral.
GUCCACGCCCUAAACGAUGAUGACUAGUUGUUGGGGAGGUUAAAUACCCUUACGUAACGCAGCUAACGCGUGAAGUCAUCCGCCUGGGGAGGUACGGUCGCAAGAUUAAAACUACAAGGAAAUUGACGGGGGCCCGGCACAAGCGGUGGAUGAUGUGGUUUAAUUCGACGCAACGCGAAAACCUUAACCUACCCUUGACAUGUGCGGAAUCCUGCAGAGAUGCAGGAGUGCCCGAAAGGGAACCGCAACACAGGUGCUGCAUGGCUGUCGU